GGCGGGUUGCUGAGGGGUGGCUCGCUGCGGCUCUGGGCGAGGGGCUAGGUUUGGGCUGGUGGGAGGCUCUGGGCUUGCUGGGGCUUCUGUGCCUGCCUUGUAGGUUGGCGCCGUGCUGGCCCCUUGGGUGUUGAGAGGGUCUCUGCACUCGCUCUGUCUCUCCCAGCUCUGCUGUGGAUUUCUCUGUUCUAUAUCCCAGCCCCCGGGUUUGGAUGAAGCCUUGGUGCUACACAGUGGUGGUGAAGGAUCUUCUCUAGAAGGCCCAGCAGUUCCACCGAUGGCAAACCCAAGUUAAUGCUCCCUUCUGGUCCCUCGUGGUCCCCAGCAUGCGGUGUUUGCUGGAUCCCAGAGGUGGACCCUGGUAUGUGGAAUAUCAACCUCUGCCCCUGGAGGAGCUGUGGAUGGAGCUGGGAUCUGGAGGAAGGAGAAGGCAAUGGACCACAUGGCUAUUUGGUGUGGGGAGAAGGAUGCAGCAGAGCUUGGAAACUCCUCCAAACCACCUAUCACACCUGAGAAUGUCAAGGGAGUAGAAAACAGGUCUUAUGGGAGGAGGUUUCUCUGCACUUGGAGCAACAUCAUGAGGGUGACCAUCAUCCUGCAUGCUGGGCAAGCUGGUGUCUCUGUAUGGACCCUUAUCCUCAUGGACUUAAGGGUAAUGUGUGCUCACAAUGGGAUUUGCAGGCAGCUUUGUUGCCUUCCUGCCUCAGAGGCAAUGACCAAAGCUCCAAGAUCAGCGUGGGGACACUCAUCAGUACGUGUUGUGGCUUUGUGAAUUUUGCUUCUGUGGCUUGGUUCCAGCAAGGCCACUGACACUGGAGCUGGCUUGUCCAAAAACCCAGCCAGGAGCCAAGACCCUACUUCUCAAACUGGCUCCUGCAUCAGAGGUUAUGUUUCUGUCUUCCUGCACACCAGCUCUUUCACCUCUGCUUGGAAGCUCUGAAAAGCUUCCCGGGAGGUUCUUGGGGCCCCUCUUUUGUUGCCAGCCCUGCCCUCACUUGUUCCUUUUUCCGUACCCUUUUUCAGGCUUCUGUUUAACAUGCACCUCUGCAAAAACCAGAGAAGAGCUUUCUCUUCACCUGACACUGGCUGCUCAUCUUUGCUCGGACUCUUUCCCCCACUGUUGCCUUUUCCUUCCCCAAAUUCCCUCCUUUAAUUUGCUUUUGCUUAUUUUGAAUACAAAGCUCUUCCAUCACAGUGUUUAUAGUUGGCAAAGCCUUGGACCUAUUGCUUAAUUCUCCUUCCUACAUCCCUACUUAACUGCCAGGGCUCCCUGUGCUCUUUCCCUGCUUCCAGAGCACCCAGGAUGGAUCCCAAUGCCUGUCCCCAGCUGUCUGCUGUGUGGUUCCCAUAUCCUGGCAGCCCAGUUCCCAAGCACUGCCCUGUCACGCUCACCAACUCCUCCUCUUUCUCAUCUCUGGAAACCUGCUUUUUUUUCUUUAUUUUUUUUUCCUGGAGCUGGCAGCAGAUGUCUUUGCCUAUCUUUUUAUUAGCUGUCCUUUCUUCUCUUUAGCCCCAGAGCAGCCUUGAGCAUGAUCUGUCUUCCCCAGUGCCCAGCAAGGGGUGGUGAAGGGUGCAGGUAUCCCCUGCUCAGUGCACUGCCACACUCUGGCACUGCUGCUCUCUGGCACCAGCCUCAUCAUCCUGACACCAAGUAAAUGUCAACAGCUUGCCUCGUGUCUGCUUCUCCAUAUCAGAUUUGCUCAUGGCUUCCCCUUGUCUCUCCCCAGAAUAGGCUGUGCUGCUCUAAAGCAUGGCUGCCCAGUUCCCAUCUUUGCAAGGACGUGGUGAGGAAUGAGUGCUGUCUGCAUCCCAGCUCUCUUUCCCUCUGAUUGCUCCUGGUCCAGGGGAGGCAUUUGGUGAACUGAGUCACGGAGCCACAGCCUGUGUCCAGGAAAGUGGAGCGAUGCUGCCGUGUCAGGGAUUUGCGUGACAGUGGGGACUGAGGCCAGCGAAGUGUGAGCAUGCACUGAGCAGUUGACAAGUGGGAUGUGGGCAGCAGAUCCCUGAGACAUGAGGUCGGGCUUGUCCCAGGCCCAUCAGAACAGGAACCGGCCAGGCCAGCCCAAAAUAGACUCCUUGUCAGAGUUUCCACCAGGCCUCAGGGGCUCCUUAUCUCCUCACUGCUGCUCCUGCGCAGGAUGAGCUGUGGACAAGAGGCCUCAAGGAGCAAUGUUGCCCUUUUCACCAGAGCUUCCUGUUGCGUGGGGCCCUCAUCCCAUAAAGUAACGGCCUCUCAUUAGCAGGACUAAUUAGGUGGGAGCAAAACCUGCCUAGGAUUAUGGGAUGGGGGGUGUGUGGGGGGUGAAGGAGGCUGGGUUUCACUGCUGCUUUCAACAGUGCCUAAUUGACAGGGGCAGCCCAAGCACCCCUGAGGUCUGUGGUCCUCCUUCUCUGUAAAAGUGUGUAAGGCUGUUAACACAGUCUGCCACAACAUCCUUUUCUCUGAAUUAGAGAGGGACGGCUUUGAAGGGUGGACUUCUUCAGUAGGUAAGGAAUUGGCCCUGGCAGUGCCCAAGGCCAGGCUGGAAGGGGCUGGGGACAGCCUGGGCUGCUGGAGGGGUCGUGCCCAUAGCAGGUGUGGAGGAGGCAAUCUUUAAUGUCACUUCCAACCCUAGCCAUGCUGUGAUUCUUGCUGGGAAGCAAACCCAGCCACUAUUGCACCUGGGGGGGAGGGCGGCCAUCUCACCACACUCCCCCUGAGCCCCACAGAGCCUGGCCCUGCCCCGGCAUCACCACGCUGUAGCCUGGGGAUCUCUGGCAGUGUGACCUCCUGGUGCUUCCACCAGUGCUCUCUUGGCCCUGCAGGAUUUCCUGACGGCCUUAACAAGCCCCCCGGGGGCAAUUAGUUCUCUGCUUUAUUACAUGCCUGGUUUUUCUCAACAAAGGUGUCGUGUUGGGGCGGUGCUGGCUGUGCAGCCACCUCCCAGGAGAAGGGAGGUGGUGGGGCAGGAGGGACUGUGUGAGCUCUGCACCCACCCUGCUUCCUCCUGCCAUGGUCUUGCAUGAGCUGUGAUGUGCAGUGGUAGGGAUCGGCCCUGCAGCACCCAUCCUGGUGCUCCCCCUGCGAGUCCUGAGCUUGAGGUUGAGCCUGCUUCCCACCCCCAGUAUCCUAAAGUCCUGGAGUAAGAGAUUACAGAGAGGAUCAGAUAUAAACCUUUUCUGCUGCAGUAAAUUGUGGUUUUCAGUGCUGCCAACUCUACCAAAAGGAGAGACAGCAUAGACAGGCAUUUCCUGAGAACUGUAGCAACAUUGCUGACCCCAAUUAUUUCAACGUGAUAAAUCACUGCCUCUCCCCAAUCCGUCAUAAACUGCCUGGUUGUAUUAAAAACCAAGCAGGUUAGAGAGGAAAUAAUGAGCAUCCUUUUUUGUUGACAUUAGUUCUAAGGCUUUUGGGGUGAUAAUUCUGCGGUUCUCUCUAUGACCCCAAGUAUUCGUAAAUGUCACCUAGAGGUGUGGGAUCACUCUGGAAACUGAAGCUUUCAGAUUGACUCUAAAAACCCCAACACCUUUGCACAUUUGUGAGGGCUUUGGUCAACAGCAUGAAUUGCUUGAAGUGGGCUCAAAAUGAGUUGUGAUUUUUAUUUUACAGAAGGGGAAAUUGAGAUGCAGAAGGGUUGUUUUUUACUGUAGGAAGCAAGGAUCCCUGGGGCUCUGUGGGUGCCUGGCCCAUUUGGGCUCCUUGCUUGCUGCCUGUGCUGGAGUGGAUGCCACAGGUUCCCGAUGCAGGUGCUGGAUCUGCAGCAAAGGUAAUCCAUCCUCUGUGCCAGAGAGAACCAAAAGGAGAAGCUGAUGCUGCACAGCUACUUAACUGAGAUUUUUGAAUAAAUAAAGCUUGUUGUUUUGUA
This is a long non-coding RNA of Anas platyrhynchos (mallard), 3845 nucleotides long. RefSeq lists it as uncharacterized. Lineage: Eukaryota; Metazoa; Chordata; Aves; Anseriformes; Anatidae. The record is from RefSeq and is a predicted model, not a curated record.